Molecule: ribosomal RNA, 254 nt
Filed under: uncultured bacterium
Lineage: Bacteria
Description: partial 16S ribosomal RNA
Rfam family: Bacterial small subunit ribosomal RNA
Source: RNAcentral
GACGAAGGAUCCAAGCGUUUAUCCGGAUUUAUUGGGUUUAAAGGGUGCGUAGGCGGAUUGAUAAGUCAGUGGUGAAAGCCUGCAGCUUAACUGCAGAACUGCCAUUGAUACUGUCAAUCUUGAAUAUGGUUGAUGUGGGCGGAAUAUGACAUGUAGCGGUGAAAUGCUUAGAUAUGUCAUAGAACACCGAUUGCGAAGGCAGCUCACAAAGCCAUUAUUGACGCUGAGGCACGAAAGCGUGGGGAUCAAACAGG